GUGCCUUCGGGAACCGUGAGACAGGUGCUGCAUGGCUGUCGUCAGCUCGUGUUGUGAAAUGUUGGGUUAAGUCCCGCAACGAGCGCAACCCUUAUCCUUUGUUGCCAGCGAUUCGGUCGGGAACUCAAAGGAGACUGCCAGUGAUAAACUGGAGGAAGGUGGGGAUGACGUCAAGUCAUCAUGGCCCUUACGACCAGGGCUACACACGUGCUACAAUGGCGCAUACAAAGAGAAGCGACCUCGCGAGAGCAAGCGGACCUCAUAAAGUGCGUCGUAGUCCGGAUUGGAGUCUGCAACUCGACUCCAUGAAGUCGGAAUCGCUAGUAAUCGUGGAUCAGAAUGCCACGGUGAAUACGUUCCCGGGCCUUGUACACACCGCCCGUCACACCAUGGGAGUGGGUUGCAAAAGAAGUAGGUAGCUUAACCUUCGGGAGGGCGCUUACCACUUUGUGAUUCAUGACUGGGGUGAAGUCGUAACAAGGUAACCGUAGGGGAACCUGCGGUUGGAUCACCUCCUUACCUUAAAGAAGC
Molecule: ribosomal RNA, 531 nt
Filed under: Salmonella enterica subsp. enterica serovar Agona
Lineage: Bacteria; Pseudomonadati; Pseudomonadota; Gammaproteobacteria; Enterobacterales; Enterobacteriaceae
Description: bacterial SSU rRNA
Rfam family: Bacterial small subunit ribosomal RNA
Source: RNAcentral